GUUAAUGCAUAAAUUUUUGAAUGUGUAUGUUUGUUACUCCUUCACGCAAAAACUGCUUUACGGAUUUGAUCAAAU
Long non-coding RNA from Aricia agestis (brown argus), 75 nucleotides. RefSeq lists it as uncharacterized. The transcript is spliced from 3 exons. The record is from RefSeq and is a predicted model, not a curated record. NCBI's taxonomy places the organism in Eukaryota, Metazoa, Arthropoda, Insecta, Lepidoptera, Lycaenidae.